This 697-nucleotide ribosomal RNA is filed under the name uncultured Methanosaeta sp. RNAcentral's name for it is "bacterial SSU rRNA". It matches the Rfam family "Archaeal small subunit ribosomal RNA", at positions 1 to 705 of the family's 1478-position model. Lineage: Archaea; Methanobacteriati; Methanobacteriota; Methanomicrobia; Methanotrichales; Methanotrichaceae. The record is from RNAcentral.
UCCGGUUGAUCCCGCCAGAGGUUACUGCUAUCGAGGUUCGACUAAGCCAUGCGAGUCGAAUGUAGCAAUACAUGGCGUACUGCUCAGUAACACGUGGACAACCUACCCUCAGGUCGGGGAUAAACCCGGGAAACUGGGUAUAAUACCCGGUAGAUCUCGGCUGCUGGAAUGCAUCGAGCUCUAAAGCUCCGGCGCCUGAGGAUGGGUCUGCGGCCUAUCAGGUAGUAGUGGGUGUAGCGUACCUACUAGCCUACGACGGGUACGGGUUGUGAGAGCAAGAGCCCGGAGAUGGAUUCUGAGACACGAAUCCAGGCCCUACGGGGUGCAGCAGGCGCGAAAACUUUACAAUGCUGGAAACAGUGAUAAGGGAACCUCGAGUGCCAGGUUACAAAUCUGGCUGUCGUGAUGCCUAAAAAGCAUUGCAUAGCAAGGGCCGGGCAAGACCGGUGCCAGCCGCCGCGGUAACACCGGCGGCUCGAGUGGUAACCGUUAUUAUUGGGUCUAAAGGGUCUGUAGCCGGCCGGAUAAGUCUCUUGGGAAAUCUGGCAGCUUAACUGUCAGGCUUUCAGGAGAUACUGUCUGGCUCGAGGCCGGGAGAGGUGAGAGGUACUUCAGGGGUAGGGGUGAAAUCUCGUAAUCCUUGAAGGACCACCAGUGGCGAAGGCGUCUCACCAGAACGGACCUGACGGCAAGGGAC